GACGAACGCUAGCGGCGUGCUUAACACAUGCCAGUCGAACGGAAAGGCCCUGCUUUUGUGGGGUGCUCGAGUGGCGAACGGGUGAGUAACACGUGAGUAACCUGCCCUUGACUUUGGGAUAACUUCAGGAAACUGGGGCUAAUACCGGAUAGGAGCUCCCGUUGCAUGGUGGGGGUUGGAAAGUUUCGGCGGUUGGGGAUGGACUCGCGGCUUAUCAGCUUGUUGGUGGGGUAGUGGCUUACCAAGGCUUUGACGGGUAGCCGGCCUGAGAGGGUGACCGGCCACAUUGGGACUGAGGUACGGCGCAGACUCCUACGGGGGGCAGCAGUGGGGAGUAUGACACAAUGAGCGGAAGCCUGAUGCAGCGACGCCGCGUGCGGGAUGACGGCCUUCGGGUUGUGAACCGCUUUCGCCUGUGACGAAGCGUGAGUGACGGUAAUGGGUAAAGAAGCACCGGCUAACUACGUG
This 468-nucleotide ribosomal RNA is filed under the name uncultured bacterium. Its description in RNAcentral is "partial 16S ribosomal RNA". It matches the Rfam family "Bacterial small subunit ribosomal RNA", at positions 28 to 507 of the family's 1533-position model. The record is from RNAcentral.